UGCUUCUUUGCUGACGAGUGGCGGACGGGUGAGUAAUGUCUGGGGAUCUGCCCGGUAGAGGGGGAUAACCACUGGAAACGGUGGCUAAUACCGCAUAAUGUCGCAAGACCAAAGUGGGGGACCUUCGGGCCUCACACUACCGGAUGAACCCAGAUGGGAUUAGCUAGUUGGUGGGGUAACGGCUCACCAAGGCGACGAUCCCUAGCUGGUCUGAGAGGAUGACCAGCCACACUGGAACUGAGACACGGUCCAGACUCCUACGGGAGGCAGCAGUGGGGAAUAUUGCACAAUGGGCGCAAGCCUGAUGCAGCCAUGCCGCGUGUAUGAAGAAGGCCUUCGGGUUGUAAAGUACUUUCAGCGGGGAGGAAGGGAGUGAGGUUAAUAACUUCAUUCAUUGACGUUACCCGCAGAAGAAGCACCGGCUAACUCCGUGCCAGCAGCCGCGGUAAUACGGAGGGUGCAAGCGUUAAUCGGAAUUACUGGGCGUAAAGCGCACGCAGGCGGUCUGUUAAGUCAGAUGUGAAAUCCCCGGGCUCAACCCGGGAACUGCAUUUGAAACUGGCAGGCUUGAGUCUCGUAGAGGGGGGUGGAAUUCCAGGUGUAGCGGUGAAAUGCGUAGAGAUCUGGAGGAAU
Molecule: ribosomal RNA, 633 nt
Filed under: Erwinia sp. DH18
Lineage: Bacteria; Pseudomonadati; Pseudomonadota; Gammaproteobacteria; Enterobacterales; Erwiniaceae
Description: bacterial SSU rRNA
Rfam family: Bacterial small subunit ribosomal RNA
Source: RNAcentral